UUAUGCAAAUUCUUGCAAAAAAUUAUGAUAAUAGAGUUCAGAGCCCCAUUUCUGUAUAAAUAUGGCUGCUUCUCUGCUGUGACUUCACCGACUUGAACAGCCCAAGACCAGCAGACAAAAUGAAGACUCUGGUGCUUCUUUCCGCCCUGGCUUUCCUCUGCAGCUCUGUGGAGACGUUCUUUUUUGUACCUCCGAACAAGCUAGCGAGCUAUAAUAUUGCCGAUUAUUUUAGAGGCAAAAGAGAAGCUGGCAAUGAACCCGCAGUGCUGCCUGAGGGAAGAGGUAC
Molecule: long non-coding RNA, 286 nt
Organism: Polyodon spathula (Mississippi paddlefish)
Lineage: Eukaryota; Metazoa; Chordata; Actinopteri; Acipenseriformes; Polyodontidae
Exons: 2
Source: RefSeq, a predicted model, not a curated record